Molecule: ribosomal RNA, 523 nt
Filed under: uncultured fungus
Lineage: Eukaryota; Fungi
Description: eukaryotic LSU rRNA
Rfam family: 5.8S ribosomal RNA (bases 164-317)
Source: RNAcentral
UGGAUCCAGAAUGUAGGGCUUCGGCCUUGCUUUCUGCCCUUCCCUUACUGAUUAUACCCAUGUCUUUUGCGUACUAUUUGUUUCCUUGGUAGGCUUGCCUGCCGAUAGGACAUCAUUAAACCUUUUGUAAUUGCAGUCAGCGUCAGAAAAACAUAAUAAUUACAACUUUUAACAACGGAUCUCUUGGUUCUGGCAUCGAUGAAGAACGCAGCGAAAUGCGAUAAGUAGUGUGAAUUGCAGAAUUCAGUGAAUCAUCGAAUCUUUGAACGCACAUUGCGCCCCUUGGUAUUCCAUGGGGCAUGCCUGUUCGAGCGUCAUUUGUACCCUCAAGCUCUGCUUGGUGUUGGGUGUUUGUCCCGCUUUUCGCGUGGACUCGCCUUAAAACAAUUGGCAGCCGGCAUAUUGGCCUGGAGCGCAGCACAUUUUGCGCCUCUUGUCAUGAUUGUUGGCAUCCAUCAAGACUAUUUUUUGCUCUUGACCUCGGAUCAGGUAGGGAUACCCGCUGAACUUAAGCAUAUCAAUA